GAUGAAGAACGUAGCGAAAUGCGAUACGUAAUGUGAAUUGCAGAAUUCAGUGAAUCAUCGAAUCUUUGAACGCAUAUUGCGCUCUCUGGUAUUCCGGAGAGCAUGCUUGUUUGAGUAUCAGUAAACACCUCAACUUCCAUAUCUUUUUUGAAAUGGGAGUUGGACUUGAGUGAUCCCAACGCUUUUCCUCACCGAAAAGUGGCGGGUUACUUGAAAUGCAGGUGCAGCUGGACUUUUCUCUGAGCUAUAAGCAUAUCUAUUUAGUCUGCCUAAAAAACAGAUUAUUACCUUUGCUGCAGCUAACAUAUAGGAGAUUAGUUCUUGUGCUGACUGAUGCAGGAUUCACAAAGACAGGCUUCGGCCGACUUUGUAAACUCGAUCUCAAAUCAAGUAAGACUACCCGCUGAACUUAAGCAUAUCAAUAAGCGGAGGA
This 433-nucleotide unclassified non-coding RNA is filed under the name soil metagenome. RNAcentral describes it as "partial contains 5.8S ribosomal RNA, internal transcribed spacer 2, and large subunit ribosomal RNA". The stretch from base 1 to 120 matches the Rfam family "5.8S ribosomal RNA", at positions 35 to 154 of the family's 154-position model. The record is from RNAcentral.